Homo sapiens (human) is the source of this 3756-nucleotide long non-coding RNA. RefSeq lists it as uncharacterized. The transcript has 2 exons. NCBI's taxonomy places the organism in Eukaryota, Metazoa, Chordata, Mammalia, Primates, Hominidae. The record is from RefSeq and is a predicted model, not a curated record.
GCCUGUCUCGCUCUAUCUGCUACCUGGGAGUGGCUUCCUGCUCAUACUUUACAGCCAGCAGGGGCAUUGGAGAGCUUCCUGGUGGUUCUCAACUUAGGGCAGUUUAAAAUGUGUGGGGCCAUUUUUAGUUGAUUAGUUGACACAAUGAUGGGGCCUGAGGCCAGGGAGGCUUAGUGGUCUAUAAUGUAAGGGAACAGUCCCCAAGCAAGAAUGGACCUGUCAAAACACCAGGAGUUUCCCAAUGAGAAACCCUGUAAGCGUCAGUUUUUACACCUGAGAAAGUGAGGCCAAGAGAGGGAAAUGACCUGCCCAAUGUGAUUUUGCAAGUUACUGUGAGAAAUGGAACUUAAAUUCAAGUUCUGUAUCUCAGUAAUGUUUUAUUUCAAUCUACCAUUUGACCUCAUUGACUGUAACAGUCAAGGUGGCUAUUUUAGUACCAUAAUUUUGUCCAGGGCUGUGCAGAUUUGUGUUGUGUGUGGUCAUUCCUGAGGUUUCUCUUCCUUUCAGAAUUCCAGCCUGAUUGAAAGGACUGUUAUUUAUAACUUUAUUUUUGGCAGGGAGAGCCACCGUGGUGUGGUGAAAGUGUACUUGCCUAGCCAUCGGGAGACUGUCACCAACCAGCUGAGUGAAUCUCCACAGAUAGCAGACCCUCUCUGGUCUUUCAUUUCAUAGCUUCAAAUGAGGUUUUGAGCCACAGUCUCCCUGAGGUUCUUUCUAGGUCCUUGUUUGAAGUUAACACGAACUGGGUUGCAACCUACCUUGCACUUCUUUUCUGACCAAUGUCCUGUCCUCUUUAAGCUAACAAUAGACUAAAUCCUCCUGGAUCUUUAAAUUAUAGAAGUCAUGGCAUCUUAAAAUAGAAAUUCAGAUCCAUAGAAGUGAAGCGUCGUAAGAACAGUGACACUCUAGUGCGAACAACUGCUUAGCAGGCUAGAACUCACCCGGUACUCACCUUAUGAUGAGGUUGGAAUAAAGGCCAGUCCCCUGUAGAAGUGGCCACUUCCCCACGUGGCAUGCGGAGACAGGCUCUCCUGAUUACAUCUCUGAUGCUGUUGCUCAUCCCUGGGUUUCAAAUUGAACUAUGUUGCAUGCUAUGGAGAAAGAAGACAAUCUUUGUGAUUUCUGACAUCACAAAGGCCUCAGGAAGAUGCUGAAGGAGUUGUCUCAUGCACGAGUUAAGUGACAUAAGAGGCAUCAGAAGAAAUUGUGGAAGGGUCUAUUUGAGGGUUUGGAUGCUUCGUGCUGUACAAGUUUCAAGGCUGGAGAGGACACGCUUGCACAGUUGGGCAAGCUUUAUGUGGGAGCUAAGAUUUGAACUGGAUCAUAUGAACAGGGGAAGAAUAUGGAAAGUGAGGGAGGCAUCUUUGGGAACAGGAGUGCAACCAAGAUAUGAGGAAGGAGCAGAGUGUGAAGGCAAACCUCCUUGCUGAUAAGGAGCACACAGUGGAGAAUCACCGAGAGUGGGAGGUGAGAAGAGGCAUCCUCCCCAGGCCUUCAGUUGCAUGACCCCAGGCAGGCCCCUUCUCCUCUGGUCCAUCGAGUGCUUGCCUUGUGCUCAGCCCUUGUAGUUGCUCUUGGGAGAGCAUAGAACAGUGUGCUCUCUGGGAACUUCCAGUCUCAUUGUCAAUCAUUAAUUAUGUGUUGAUCUCUCUACUUUGAGUAUUUUCAGGUAAUUGGAUAUCCCAAAAUACUGACCUUUCGGUAUUACCUUCCAAGUAAGACCUGGGGAAACCCAAGCUGACCCAAUUCCCUUAAUCCACUUGUAGAAGGAUAUAAUUUUACUGAGGUUUUGAUUUAGGAAGAUUAACAUGCAGACUUGUCAAUAGCAUGUAAAAAUUUUAUGAUUUCCUUACUACUGCUACAUAAAAUACCAUGCCUCAGUUCUGUUGUAUUUCUAUAUCAUCUUAACAGUGCCUUGAAUUUAAAGAGUCUGCUUUCUCCUUCCCUGUGAUCUUCCGCUGGGUUUUUUGCUGUUCUUAGGAGGCCUCCGUGAGCUGGGCUCGUGGGGCUGCUGAGUCCACAGAUGUCAGCCCGGUUUGUGCAAGCUGGGAUUUUGUGUUUAUAUUUGCCAUUUAAUUUUUGUAAUUGUUUGUUUUCUCUAACAUCCUGUGACUGCCUAAAGGGGAGAAAUAGAUCGCAAGGAUGGCUUGUCUGGUUUGAAAACAAUAGUUUUCCAUGGAUGGGGUGGCAACCUGGAGGACUUGGUCUCCUGUUCCUAGUGCCAGCUCCUCACCUGUGUCUCCUUCAUCUCAGAGUGGCUUCCGGGCUCCUUUGAGACUAUCUGACAGCUCUUCCAUGAGGGCAGGGUCCCGAUACAGGGCCAUCAGCAUAAGGCCAUUCUUGGGAAUUUUCCUACCCUUUGUGCUUUCUUCCGGGCAUGCUAUGUUGUUUUUUUCUUAAUCUUCAUUCUUUCUCAGAAACCAAUUCACUUUUUUUGUUAUAAAGUUGUCAUAUUUUAAAAGUGACUCUUCUUCUUGAGACAAAUAAGUCCCAUGCACAGUUACUCCUCUGUAGCUCAAUGCAGUGCUGAGUUCACACUCUCUCUGAGUUAAGGAUAACAAGUUAGAUACAAGGGAAUUCAGAGUGAACAAGCUAGCUGUGUGCCUGGGCCAUUGGUUGCCAAGAAAGCACUUACAUACAUGCCCUAAAUAUGGAAGUGCAUGCUACUCAAUGGUCUGAUUCACCAAGAAAUUUUACAAAUGUGGACUGGCCCAGGCUGUCUUUCUGGUGAGAGGGUAUGUAAUGAACUCUUAGGAGAACUCUUAGGAGAUUAAAAUCAACAAAUUAACGGAAGAGCAGGUGGCUUGAGUCUGGAGGUACUUUCUAAUCUAUCAGGUCAGUGAUAUCAUUUCUUAAUCUGGGAGAAAACAACACAGAACCCUGGGUGGAAACUUGGGAUAGCAUGUGUGAGCCGUUUACUGUCAUCUGCCCCUUUCCACUUACAGUGUCUUAUCUGCCUUAUUUCCUUUGGACUUCACAUACCUUCCAGAAACCCACCAAACCUGCCUUUUUUGUUUUUUAAUGUGGUCAUUUCUUGGUUACCUGGAAGUGGGCAUCACACUCAGCCCCACUUCUCGCCCUCUCUACUCACCUCCUUCCCAGUUCAAACUCAUUCCAGUCAUUAGGCUUUAUUCUAUUCAUGACUAUGGGAAGUGAUUCUAAGGAGUUUUUCAUCCUCUGUGGCAUAAGAAAACCCAAGCGUUGUUUAGUUUUUGAGUUUUCUAUUCAUAUCCCUGGCCAUCAAACCCUGGAGGAGAAGACCAUCUGUCCAUUGUCUCACUCCUUCUUAGUGGGGGUGUGGGGAUGCCUGAGUACCCAUAGAGGAUGCCCUGGGGCUGACCUGAUGUCUUUGAUUUUCUCACUUCUCCUUGUCUCUUUUGAGCAAGAGUGGCAAAAGUGGAGUCCAGAGAGAACAGAAAGAAUACUGGGAUGAGUUUCUGAAUACAGCCAGCCACAUCCGGGAAGUGGAAAAGAACGAGACAUUGCCUCCCUCUCAGCCUUCAAGAUGCCAAGGUAGCAGAGGGCUUUGGCUAUGGCCAGCCCAUUCUUGCGGAGGACAGUUGGCCUGGGAGCAACACAGGCUGUAACAGAUUCAUGUGUUCUGCUGAGGAACAGCUGGGGAGAGAAUGGGGUAGAAGGUGGGGAAGUUUUGACCCCAGGAAGCAGGACAUAGGAUUUCCUGGGAUUUUAUAUCCUCAUCAGUCCUCUGUUACUUUCUUGUGGUACUUCCUAAUAAUAAAUUAGCAUCCAACUCUA